UUGCUCACCUUGUGUUAGGCGAUAUUAUACAUAAUUUUAUCUGAUUAAUCCACAACUUUAGUAUUCAUUAGGAAUCAUAAAAUUAUAUUAUGUGUUCAAGUACUUAUUAUCGGAUGAUCAUUAUUGCUCACUAAAUCAUGUUCCACAAAUAAUCAUACGGAUGAUAAAAAUAACUAUAAUAGAUAAAAGUAUCCUUCAACUGCAUCAGUGAAUAGCUCAAGUUCAUCCAAGGUCUCAUAGACAUCAUAAACAUCAGCGAAUAUCACCCCCACGGUCCAGAAGAAAUUCUCCAUUAAUCUAUCUCUUGCAAAAUUCAACUUCUCCACAAGUCUUGUUUUCUUCCACCACCUGACACAUAAUCAAUUAGCAUGAAAUUAAAUAAGUUACAUAUAUCAUGCUCAGUUAGACUUGAUCAUUUUUGAGUGCGGAUGUCCAUAUGUUUACAAAUCAUAUAAAGAGGCUAUACAUGAGCUCUGUUACGACACAAAAUUUGUUUACAAGGUUGUAGAACGGUGAGUCCGCACUUUAUGAGAAGGACUCUAAUAAGAUUAUAUAUCUAGAUUCUUACCUUGGACACAUAUUUGAGAUCCUCUUGGCGUGCAGCUUGCACAAUAUUAAAGUCAAGUUUAGCAAGCUCGAGCAAGAAAGAUUUCGUCUUGGGUCCGAUCUUGCAUACAUCAGUGAACCACCUUGUCUCCAAUCUUUGCAUCCUCCAAUGUAGUGGAAGUUCCAGGGCAUGAGUCACUAAUGUACAGAAAUAUCCAUCAUUAUUUUCAUUAUUAUUAUGGUUGACUACGUAUUCUUUGAGGUAUGUAGUGGUGGAAUUUAUAGCACCACGAAAGAUAUUGCUUUCUCCUUCUACCAAGAGAUACGCAGCUUCAGACAGAGCUAAAAUUCCUUUGCAAUCGUCACCGAGGCAUGAUAACUUAAAGCUCCUCUUCUCAUCCUUGAAACAGGAAAACGUUUCUACAAUUACUUGCGCACACAUGCAUGCGUCUCAUAUUAUUAAUUAGAUAAUCUAGAACAAAGAAUCGGAAUGAAUUCUUUUAAGAUCCACGAGGACAGAAGGAAAAGUUGUGGACAAAUGCUAAAGUGACCGAGCAUAGUCAAAAACAGUGAUAAAUCAGUGCCAGCCACUUACAUUGUUUUUCAAUUGAGUAAACCAACAUUGGCUUAUCACUGUUUCUGUCAAAUUUUUCUGUAUAGAUAUUAUUAGACAAAAGUUGCAUGCAUCCAUGCGUACCCUUCGCAGGUAUAUCAUAACCAUGAUGCCUUAGGAGUCUGAAUUUGAGUGCUACAGCAUAUAAACUUUCUUGUUUUUGUUUAUAAUUGCUGUGAUUAUUAGUAUUCUUAUUGUAUAUCCUAACCAGAGUUCUUUUGUUUUCAUCCUCAAGUGAUAAGAUAAUCCAAGUCUUUGCAGAGUAUCAAUGAGCUCAAGUAGGUGUAGAGGAUCAAAAUCCACCACCACUUUAUGAUCAUCCUGCUGUAGCAUCGCCCUCGCUUCUUUCCUCAGCUUUUCCUCUCUUUUGACAUAAGAUUCUCCCUGCGUGAUAUAAUUAAAUCAAAUCAUUUGUUAUUUUAUUAGAUACGUGGGUAUAUUUAAACGAACUAAUUGCAAACAGAUUAAGUAAAUUAAAUAAUUAUGUACCUUAUAUUUACUCUCAAGUGACAGAUUAUAAUCAGAACCCCAAAUAGAUGGCUAGUAAUUGGCAGAUCGCCUAAUAAUCGUUUGAUCAGCAGCAACCUUAGUAGUGGUGGAUGCAGCCAUGCGGUACUGGACUCGGUAACAAUUCAGGAGGAACAAAGACAUUACUGUUGCUUGGUAAUGAUAUUGAUAAUCUUGUGAAAUAGCAUGUCGCCGGCAGUGAAGAAAGCAGAUAAGGGCCAUAAUUAAGAAUUUUUCAAGGAGUGUAUACAUGAGAUCUAUAUUAAUUGCUCAAAUUAUUAGGAAAAUGAAACUAUUACAUGGGAUUCUUCAAGUCCUCAAUUAUGUCAUGGCUAUUUAUACACAAUCUUGGGCUCUCUUAAUAUUUCUUUUACAUUUAGCCUCAAGCGAAAAUGCAAUUGAUAUGGCUUUUUGAUCAGCUCAUAAAUGAAUCUGUCGUUUUCCUUCAAGAAAACUCCUGUUAAAACUCCGUUUGCAACACUAAAGUAGUGCUACAAUGCUUACUCAACAUAGCAUUAUUGUUUUUUCAAAUAGUGAUAAAAUGCUUACUUAAUAUAUAUAUAUAUAAUUAUUAUUUUUUAAAUAAAUGGGUUGGUGGUAUCAUUAGGCUAAGUGGAAAAGAUAAUAUUAACAAAAAGCAAUAUUUUUAGUAUUUCAUGUUAAAUAAGAAUUUGAUAAUAAUUUUUUUCCGCUGAUUUAUUUUCCAAAUUCCUCAUUGUACAACAAUUAUUUAUGCAAACCAAUCCAAAAAAAGAAAGUCUGUGAUGUAGAUUUCUAAGUCCACAAAAAGCAAAAUGUUGAGCAAUGCGUUUGUGAUCAAUUCAUGAAUAAAUCUAUGAUUUUCCUCUUUUUGCUUGAAGAAAACUCCUAUUAAAACUCUGUUUGCAACCCAAGGUUUCCUAAGUGUAAUACAAUGCUUGCUUAAUAUAGCAUUGUUGUUUUUUCAAAUAAAUGGGUUGGUGGUAUCAUCAUGCUGAGUGGAAAAGAUAAUAACAAAAAAUAAUGAUUUUAGUAUUUCGCAUUAAAAUAGAAUUUGAUAAUAAAUUUUUCGCUGCUUUAUUUUUCCAAAUUCCUCAUUACAACAAUUAUUUAUGGAACGAAAAAAAAAAGUUUUCUGAUGUAGAUUCCCAAGUGCAUAAAAAGCAAAAUAUUGAGCAAUGCGUGGCAACGUGGCUAGCACGCAACUUCUGAAUUUUGGCACCAAAGCUAUUAAAUUUGAAGAAUUUGAAAGUCAUUGAACCAUUUUUAAGGACUUUUUGCCAUUGCAUGCAUGGUAAGCUUUGGCUAGAAAAGUAAUUUGCCAUUUGAGACCAUCCCAAAAUGUGGAGUGCGAGAGCUUAUGUGAUAAGUUCUCUAAGAAAGUGCAAAGAGAGUUGUAGGACGUGCAAAUGACCGCUUAAAAAUGCUUGUGAAAGGGUGCUCAGUAUGUACAUUUGAGAGGUGUGAGAGAAUUUGUCUUUGGAAGAUUAUUUUCUUUAAUAGUGUUUAAGAGUACAGGGUGUAUUUGAAUACUUAAGAAAUUAGAUUUUUUUACUUAAAUUUAUACUCUAUUAAUUGAUAAUAAAAUUAUUAUUUUCUCUUACCUCUAUAGACAUAUGCAUUCUUACUGAACCACGUUAAAUUUGUCUGUCUUUAUCUUUGUGAACUAUUUGGUGCAUACAAAUUCCGUAAUUGCGAGCAGGUGGCCACAGAUAAAAACAAAUGGCCCUUUUGCGCACAAUAUAAAACAAUUUCACUCUCGGAAGCCACGUGGCUAAUAGAUUGUUGCCUAUGUAAUUUAUUUUCAAGGGUUGGAAUUCAGAUACCAAAUUUGUAAUGAAGUGGUAUCUGACAUGUCAUCUAUAUAUUAGUAGUGUUAAAUUAACUCACUAAUAAAGGUAUAAAAAUUCAAUUGUUUACAAAUACAUGACAAUUAUUAAUUGAUGAUACAUUAUUUGUAAUACAAGUUUUAUAUCUUAAAUAUAUAAACAUAUCAACACAUUACCCCUACAUCAAUGAUUUUUUUUCGUUUUUUAUCCUUUGUGAGCCAUACUUUUCAAGUUAAAAAAUGCAGCAAAUCCCUGUAGUUCGUUGUCUUACAUGACAAAAAUGGCAUGUGAGUACCACCCUUCUAGAAGACGGGCCCGCCCAUUUUGAAGAAGAAAGCAUUACUUCCGUCUUUGACUAGAACAAAAGAAAAAAUGGAGAAAGAAGGAAAAAUGGGUGUCAGGCCGAAAAAGAAGAAGAAAACAAAUAAUAAUUAAAUGAACAAUAACCAGUUUUGGCUAUAAAAGGAGGCUCCUCCUUGUUUCUGCAUUCAGUUUUUUUGAGAAGCAAUUCCUGCAUUUAAGAGAGCAUAGAAUUUUGUAGAGCUUAAAUAAUAAAGCUCUUGUUUUAGUGUUUUGAGAGUUUGAGUGUAUUAAGGUUUUGGAAAGUAAGUUAAAAUAUUACAAUACUUGUAACUCUUUUUCACUAAUAAAAUAUUUUUCUUCUGUCUUCGCCCGUGGACGUAGGCUAAAAGCCGAACAACGUAAUUUUCUGGUGUCCUCUUUGUGUUUGUUCUUUAUUUUUCUUCAAAUUUCAUUUUAGCUAUGUGUCUGCUUCACCCAUUAAUUUCCUAACAGUGGUAUCAGAGCUAUUGGCUGUAUUCUUUGGAGUCGGGCACUGUUCACUAUACGACAUUGUUCAUAUAUACGGUAUUGUUCACGAGAAACGGUGGGAGCAAUCCAAGAAUUUUGUGGUGUAAAGCAAGGAAUAGUGGUGUGAGUAAAGCAACUGUGUGGUUUUGUACAUGUCUAGAAAAGUUAUGUCACAAAGGCGAUAAGAGUCUAAGGAGUCUGGGUUUUAAGUGGGACCAUUGUGACCCCUCCAGUCUUUCCUGAGAACUUUCCUGGUGUGCAUUCUCACACAUACUCACAAUUAUUUAAGGUGGUACACUAACUUGUGCGCGGUAUUUAUCAACAAAAUGUUGGUAAAGUAUGAAAUUGAGAAGUUUAACAGAAAUAAUUUUUCAUUGUGGAAAAUGAAGAUGAAAGCUGUAUUGAGGAAAAAUAAUUGCUUGGCAGUAAUUGGAGAAAGGCUCAUGGAGAUAACUGAUAACAAGUGGAACGAGAUAGAUGGCAACGCCAUUUCUGAUCUACACUUGGUACUUGUGGAUGGAGUAUUAUCCAGUGUGCCAGAGAAAAAUUCAGCGAAGGAAAUAUGAGAUACUCUCACAAAAUUGUACGAGGCCAAGUCACUACACAACAAAAUCUUCUUAAAGAGGAAACUUUAUACUCUUCGAAUGACGGAAUCUACAACGAUGACCGACCACAUCAACACCUUGAAGACUUUAUUUUCACAACUCACAUCGUUGGGUCAUAAUAUAGAGGAAAAUGAACGUGCAGAACUUCUACUUCAAAGUUUACCAGAUUCGUAUGAUCAACUCAUCAUCAACCUGACGAACAACAAUCUAGCAGACAGUCUGGUUUUCGACGAUGUUGCAGCCUUCGUAUUAAAUGAGGAGAGCAUGCGAAAAAAUAAGAAAAACAAACAAGCAAGUUCGCAGCAAGCAGAAGCGCUAUCGGUGACGAGAGGGAGAUCAAUGGAACAUGGCCCCAGUGGGAGUCAUAAUCAUGAUAGAUCAAAAUCCAGAAGUAAGAAGAAUGUUAAAUGCUACAAUUGUGGCAAGAAAUGACACGUUAAGAAAGAGUGUUGGAGUAACCAGAAGAGAAGCGAAGGCAAAGAACCUGAGUUAUCAAAUACUCAGGGGUGUGUAGCAAGUACCUCGGAUGAUGGCGAAAUUAUCUAUAACGAGGCAACAACUGUUUCAGAAGGCAGAAAACGGCUAUUUAACGUCUGGCUCAUAGACUCAGGAGCUACCUAGCACAUAACCUCUCGGAGAGAAUGGUUUCAAAGUUCAGUAGAUCUAUUACUAGAAGUAAAUGCAUUUUAGACUUGAUUCAUUCUGAUGUUUGGGAAUCGCCGGAUAUGUGUUGGUUAAUUUUAUAAUCAAAUGCUAUUAAUGCCAAUGUGCAAGUAUACACAACAAGUAAUAAAGUGAUGAAUAUUCAAGAUCGCCUCCACAGGGAUUGAUGUUACUUGAAAUGCUAUAAUAGUCACAAUAGUACAAACUAACUUAAGUCCAAAGUUAACAAACGUAAAGUGGGUUCUAUCGUAAUUGAUGAUUGUAAGAGAAUAAAGUAAAACAAUACCGUAAUGAAAUAAACUAAAUUAAAUGUGUCUAAGUAAGCAAGAUAUAUUAAAGUUCAGUAGAUCUAUUACUAGAAGUAAAUGCAUUUUAGACUUGAUUCAUUCUGAUGUUUGGGAAUCGCCGGAUAUGUGUUGGUUAAUUUUAUAAUCAAAUGCUAUUAAUGCCAAUGUGCAAGUAUACACAACAAGUAAUAAAGUGAUGAAUAUUCAAGAUCGCCUCCACAGGGAUUGAUGUUACUUGAAAUGCUAUAAUAGUCACAAUAGUACAAACUAACUUAAGUCCAAAGUUAACAAACGUAAAGUGGGUUCUAUCGUAAUUGAUGAUUGUAAGAGAAUAAAGUAAAACAAUACCGUAAUGAAAUAAACUAAAUUAAAUGUGUCUAAGUAAGCAAGAUAUAUUAAAGUUCAGUAGAUCUAUUACUAGAAGUAAAUGCAUUUUAGACUUGAUUCAUUCUGAUGUUUGGGAAUCGCCGGAUAUGUGUUGGUUAAUUUUAUAAUCAAAUGCUACUAAUGCCAAUGUGCAAGUAUACACAACAAGUAAUAAAAUGAUGAAUAUUCAAGAUCGUCUCCACAUGGAUUGAUGUUACUUGAAAUGCUAUAGUAGUCACAAUAGUACAAAUUAACUUAAGUUCAAAGUUAACAAACGUAAAGUGGGUUCUAUCGUAAUUGAUGAUUGUAAGAGAAUAAAGUAAAACAAUACUGUAAUGAAAUAAACUAAAUUAAAUGUGUUUAAGAUUCAAUUGAGAUUAUGGUAGUUGAAUGAUCAAACUCUCCUUAUGGGCUGACUGUUUUUCAUCAAGUUAACACCAGUUGUUACGGCAAAUGCUGCAGCACUGGGUAGAAUUAAUCUGUUUCCUCAGCUGUCGCGUAUUGGAACUCUCAUACCCUUAAAUAUAUUAGCAAUGACCAGUUGCUAAUCUACUUAUGAUAUGGCCUUAUGACCCUUUAGUCUUUCCACCCUACAAGGUGAGCACCUAUGUCUAGUGUGUCACAAAUCUUAACUUUAAGUAUAACCCUUAUGGGAUUCAAGAUAACUUAAUCCAGGAAAUUUAAAUUAAGAUCAAGUAAUACUCUAAUAAUAUCCACGAAGACAUGCCCUUUUGCGACUCUAUCUUAACUUGAACUAUUAAAUGGGUGGUCAACCGAAAUAACAGUUAUAUUAAUAAUAAUUACUAGAGUAAAAUGCUACAGUAAUGACAUAACAACACAUAAGAACAGUCAAUAACCCAUUAAAUUAUUUGUCACUCAACUACAAGCAAAUCUAGUUCAUAUUCUGAAUGAGAAAAACAAAUAGCAAAAUAUUGGUCAUAAAAUACAUCGGUUCAAUCAAAGAGUAAAGAAAAAAACAAGUAAAGAACGAUGAAGAUUGAAUCCAAAUAACUCUGUUGGAUUCUUCACUGAUGCAGACUUGGUUCUCUUGAAUUUUGAGUGUUUGCUUCUUUUCCUCUCGAUUUCUCUAAUGUUAAUUCCUUGCCGCCAUUUUAUGUGGUGCGCACCCUCCUUUUAUACUGCAAACUAGGGUAAAUAAAAGUAGGUGGACGUGCAUGAGUUAAAUUAGGAAACAUGCAGAUCGCAAAUCUACAGUUAACCCAAGCUUAAGUUUUCUCCCUCCGUGCUCCUAGAUUGCUACAGCACUGGUUGCUCUAACAACAGUUACAAUACUGCACUUUUCCCGAUUGUGCUUUACUUCUUUUGCGGCCAUUUUCUUUCCUUCUCUUGCUAGUCUAAUGUCUCAGCAUCCCUUCAUGAAUUAAGAAUUUCUGAAAACUUAUAAUUAUGCACAUGUUUUGAGCACAAAUUACUUUGAUUCAAGCAAAACUUAUUAAGACUCAACUAAAAUGAAUAUUUAUGCAAAAUAUAACCAAAAUGUAAUAAAAAUACCUUAUUUACACUAUAAGUGAUCUUGAUUCAAGUUUAGAAUUGAUGUAAUAACUCUCAUUUCAUAGAGUUAUGAAUAUGUCCAUGGGAGGUGCAAAGUAUAUGGUGACUUUCAUUGAUGGUUAUUCCAUGAGAUGUUGGGUGUAUCCAAUUAAGAAAAAAUCAUAUGUAUUUUCAGUGUUUAAAGAAUACAAAGCGCGGGUGGAACUUGAUUCCAGCAAAAUGAUCAAGUGCUUGAGGACGGAUAAUGGUAGAGAGUAUACAAACGGUGAGUUUCUUGCUUUCUGUAAGCAAGAAGGUAUUCAGAGGCAGUUCACGGUGGCAUACACUCCUCAACAAAAUAGAGUGGCAGAGCAUAUGAAUAGGACUCUUACAGAAAUGAUAAGAGCUAUGUUGAGGACUAAUGGUCUACCCAAUUCAUUUUGGGAAGAAGCAUCCAAAAUUGCAUGUUACAAUUGAGCUGAAGACAGCGAUGGAGAUGUGGACUGGAAAGCCAGCUGAUUACUCCUACCUACAUGCAUUUGGAUGUCCUGUGUACGUGAUGUACAAUGCCCAAGAAAGAACAAAGCUGGAUCCAAAAUCUAGAAGAUGUAUCUCCUUAGGAUAUGCUGAUGAAGUAAAGGGGUAUCGUCUGUGGGACCCCACUGCCCACAAGAUUAUCAUUAGCAAAGAUGUUAUCUUUGUAAAAGACCAACUGCAAAGGAGAGAUGAGGAUGAUAGCACUGUAAAAGAAAAGUCAGAGACUGUGCCGGUAUAUAUGAAAAAUAAUCCAGAAGAUUUAGAUUCUUCUGAAGUAGCACCAGAGCACGAGUAACAAGUACCAGUCGAGUCCGAGGCUCUAGAAGUUUUUCGGUCAACUCUUGAGAGACGACCACCAGCGUGGUACUCAGAGUAUGUCACAGAGAUCAAUGUUGCAUACUGUCUUCUAACAGAUGAUGGAGAGUCAUCAACUUUCCAUGAAGCUUUAAAUAGCUCAGAUGUUGCUUUGUGGAUGACAGUAAUGUAGGAAGAAAUUGAAGCUCUACACAAGAAUAAGAUAUGGGAACUUGUACUACUACCACAUGGAAGAAAAGCUAUUGGAAACAAAUGGGUCUACAAGAUCAAACGUAAUGGUAAUGACCAAGUGGAGCGGUAUCGUGCAAGAUUGGUGGUGAAAGGAUAUGCUAAAAAAGAAGGUAUUGACUUCAACGAAAUAUUUUCUCUGGUAGUUUGCCUUACAACAGUCAGAGUAGUUUUGACAAUGUGUGCUACAUUUGACCUACAUUUAGAGUAGAUAGAUGUGAAAACUGCAUUUCUUCAUGGAGAACUUGAAGAGGAAAUUUAUAUGCUCCAACUAGAAGGUUUUGCAGAAACAGGAAAGGAGAACUUGGUUUGCAGGUUGAACAAAUCUAUAUACGGUCUCAAACAGGUGCCGAGGUGUUGGUAUAUGAGAUUUGAUUCCUUUAUCAUGAGCUUUGGAUACAACAGACUCAGUUCAGACCAUUGUGUAUAUUACAAGAGAUUUAAAGAUAAUGAUUUCAUCAUUUUGUUGUUGUACAGGGAUGACAUGUUGGUUGCAGGCCCAAACAAAGAUCGAAUCCUAGAAUUGAAGGCACAGUUGGCUAAAGAGUUUGAAAUGAAGGACUUGGGACCAGCAAAUAAGAUUCUAGGGAUGUAAAUUCACUGAGACAAAAAUAACAAGAAGAUUUGGCUUUCACAGAAGAAUAAUUUGAAGAAAAUCUUGCGGCGCUUCAACAUGCACGAUUGUAAGCCAAUUUCUACCCCACUUCAUGUUAAUUUCAAAUUAUCCUCAAGUAUGUGUCCUAACAAUGAAGUAGGAAGAAGAUGUCUCGAGUACCGUAUGCAUCAACAGUGGGAAUUUGAUGUUCGCUAUGAUAUGUACUAGACCAGACAUUGCACAAGCAGUGGGAGCAGUUAGUCGAUACAUGGCGAAUCCUGGUGGAGAGCAUUGGAUAACUGUGAAGAGGAUUCUGAGGUACAUUAAAGGAACCUCUGAUGUUGCAUUAUGUUGUGGAGGAUCAGAGUUUACUAUCAGGGGCUAUGUGGAUUCAGAUUUUGCAGGAGACCUUGAUAAAAGGAAAUCCACUACUAGAUAUGUGUUUACACUUGCGGGAGCAGCUGUAAGCUGAGUUUCAAAACUGCAGACCGUUGUGGCUCUAUCUACAAUAGAAGCAGAGUACAUGGUAGUUACACAAACUUACAAGGAAGCUAUUUAGAUACAAAGGUUAUUGGAAGAGCUCGGGCACAAACAACAGAAAAUUCAUGUGUUUUGUGACAGUCAGAGUGCCUUGCAUAUUGCAAAGAAUCUAGCAUUUCAUUUCAGGACAAAGCCCAUAGGGGUACAGUAUCACUUCGUUCGAGAAGUAGUGGAAGAUGGAAGUGUCGAUUUGCAGAAAAUCCAUACGAAUGAGAACUUAGUAGAUGUUUUGACCAAGCCGAUAAAUACUGAUAAGUUUGUAUGGAGUAGAUCCUCUUGUGACCUAGCAGAAACGUAGGCAACAUGACUAUGGCGAAGUAGAAAGGAUGGUGUGGAGAUUGAUUAGUUCUUAAUCAAAUCUCCAAGUGGUAGAAUGACAAAAAUGGCAUGUGGGCACUACCCUUUUAGAAGGCGGGCCCGCCCAUUUUGAAGAAGAAAGCAUUACUUCCAUCUUUGACUAGAAUAAAAGAAAAAAUGGAGAAAGAAAGAAAAAUGGGUGCCAGGCCGAAAAAGAAGAAGAAAACAAAUAAUAAUUAAAUAAUUAAAUGAACAGUAGCCAAUUUUGGCUAUAAAAGGAGGCUCCUCCUCCUCGUUUCUGCAUUCAGUUUUUUUGAGAAGCAAUUCUUGCAUUUAAGAGAGCAGAGAAUUUUGUAGAGCUUAAAUAAUAAAGUUUUAGUUUUAGUUUUUUGAGAGUUUGGGUGUAUUGCGGUUUUGGGAAGUGAGCUAAAAUAUUACAAUACUUGUAACUCAUUUUCACUAGUAAAAUAUUUUUCUUCUAUCUUUGCCCGUGGACAUAGGCUAAAAGCCGAACCACGUAAUUUCCUGGUGUCCUCUUUGUGCUUGUUCUUUAUUUUUCUUUUAAUUUCAUUUUGGCUGCGUGUCUGCUUCACCCAUCAAUUUCCUAACAUUACAUUGGUUUUACAUUUGGCCUCAAGGCAAACCCAGGUGAUUUGAAUUUCGUAAUAAUUUAUUUCGUUGUGAUAAUAUAUUUCCUCUAUUUGUUUCCAGGAAACUCCUAUCUUUGCAAGUUGCAACCGCUGAAUUUUUUUAAAAAUAAUUGGGUUGGUGGUAUUAUUAUGCCCAAUGGGAAGAAUAAUGACAACUAUUCACUGUUGGAGUCAGUAUUGGACUAAUUAGGGCAUGGGCGCCAGCUGGUUUUGAAAAAAUUUGAAGCGUAAUAUUGAAUAAGUCUAGUUUAAAGAGUUUGAAAUUUAAUCCUCAUUAAAGAAAAAUUAAAAAGUUUAUUAUUCAUUAGUUAUUAUAAUCGUACAAACAUGAAUUAGCCACACAUAAAUGUACACAAAAGAAAUUUAACAAAACUAAAUAAUAAUUAAAAAUCAUGGAACAAUAAAAAUAUAAAAGUUUCUCUUUUUUUCCCCCCUUCCUUUUCUUCUUCUUCUGCUUAUACAAACCUUGUAGGGACAAUGGUAAUCAAUAAAAAUCUAUAAAUUUAUCACUAAAAAAUAAUAUAAUAUAGGUAUGUGUCAUAUAUUGUUAUUUGAAUAUUUUAAAAUUGUAUUUUUUUAAAAAAGUAAAAUAAAAGUUUUGGAUAGGAAUGAGAAACCUCACUCUAUUAUUAUUUGAACUAUGCAAAAUACCUUCAUAAUCAGUUAAGCUAUAUUCAUAAUGUGUAUUAUAAGUUGAAUAUAUCCCAGUUAAAACAAUUUUUUUGGCUAUGUCACUAAUGACAAUAACAAUGUUUUUAGUAUUUUUUGUUAAAUUAGAAUUUGAUCAUAAAUUUUCCAUUGAUUUAUUUUCCAAAUUUCUUAUGAUACAACUUAUGCAACCCCCAAAAAAAAAAAAAGUUUAUGAUGUGGCGUGGUAUUUGUUGUGUCAUCUAUUAAUUGGUGUUGUGAAAUUAUCUCACCAAUAAUUGGUGUUAGAAUAAGAGUUAUUGAUUGAUAACGCAUUAUUUAUGUAUAAACUUUAUAUCUCAAUUUUGUAAAAAUAGCACUACACUAUCCCUCUAACAAUUUUUCUUUUUUGGUCUUUUAUUGCUAUAAUUCGUUGUCUUCUAGGAAAAAAGAAAAAAAUUAAUUGCCAAGAAAUUUAAUCUAGCAUUAUUAUUUUGAAGAAUAAAAAAGGUCAUACCCUUUGUUGUAAUCAAAAUAUUCUAACAUAUUGAGUUGCUUAUACUAUUUAAAAUGAAGAAAAAAAUUAAAGUUUAAAGGAAUUGAAUUAUACGUUGAAUGAGAGUGCAAUCCCUAAUAAUAAUUUAAAUCAUGAGUGUUUCAUUAUAAAUAAUUUUAUUAAAAUAAGAAUGUUGGAGCUCGGAAUAAUUUUUAGUGUUUAAAUAUCUCUCUCUUAUGAAUUUAUGUUCCUUGGGGGAUAAAAUUGCAGCCACCAAAAUUUUUUAAAUAAAUGUGUUGGUGUAUAACGGCCGGCUUGUUGUAUUAUUAGCCCAGCCCGCUUUUGUACAUUGGACUCAAGGAAUCAAGCUCUAAGAACCUAGGCCUCAAGCCCAGUUAUGAUUCAUUUCAAAUCAUUAUCCAAUUCAUUGAUCUCAUUUUAUUUUUAUGUACAUUGGUGAUUGGUCAUUUGGUCCGUCAUUCAGUUUUUUUGAGAAGAAAAUAGACUUUCCAUUAAGCAAAAGUUUCAAAAAUACAAGCAAUAUCAUUCGGAAAAGAGUCUAUCCAAACAUUAGACGUUUCAGUCUUGAGGGCAUACUUAGCUAAUCUAUGAGCUAGUUCAUUAGUGAAUCUAGGGAUGUGUUGAAAGGUAACCUUGUGAAAGUCACCUCUCAUAUCUUGAACUGCUGAUAUCACCCAGUAAAUUUCUGUUUUACUCCAUUUCUUAUAGUUGACCAAAUCAGGAACUUCCUGGCAGUCUGUCUCAAUGAUAAUUGAUGUCAAUUAAACUUCUUUGGCCACUUGAAGUCCCAGUUCUACAGCUUCUGCUUCUGCAAACUGCACAUCCCAGCUUAGUCGCGAUGGUUUAACUGCAGCUGCCACCACUCUUCCUUUAUCAUCCCUAAUAACAGCCCUCAAGCCUAUUGUUUUAGCUUCAACAUUGGUAGCAGCAUCCACGUUAAUUUUGAAACUUCCAGCAGGGGGUGGAGUCCACUGAUGAUGCUUCUUGUCUUCUCGGUUUGCAGCUUGAGAACUUCUACCAUGCUUCACUCUUUGAUAGGCUUCGACUAUAGCUUGGGCCUUUGCAGCUGAGGCAUUUGAGUUAAUUUUCUCCCCUUUGAAAAGCAGUCGAUUUCUAGCAUUCCAAGUAAUCCACCAGGUAGCACCCAAUAAUUCCAAGUCUGCUUUGCACAGCCUCUUAGACAUCUGAAACCACACUUCCAGCAUAUCCUGCCCUUUAUAAACUUCAAUGCCUUUAUCAGCUAGGCUUGACUUUUUUCAAAUCUUACCCGCUGCUUUGCACUCGAUCAGGGCAUGAGAAAUAGUUUCCACACUUCUUCUGCAAUUUGGCAUAAAGGGGAUGCAAUCACUUUCUUCUUCUAUAAAUUCUCCACGGUUGGUAGCAUAUCUUGAGCAGCUCUCCAUAAAAAGAUUUUUAUUUUUUCAGGCAACUCCAAUCUCCAUAUGGCUUUCUAGUAACAAGAACAAUCCUCCGAGGUGCUGGGGAUAUUAAGAUAUUUCAGUCUUAGAGUAAUUUGAUAGUCGCUCUUGACUGUGUACAUGAAUUUUUUGUCAAAAUGCCAGCAAACUUCAUCCAUCUUUGGGCUUCUAGGGAGAGGGAUCCUCAUUAUGGCUGCUGCAUCUUCCUUGUUAAAGUGCUCCAAAAUUAGAUCUGUUUUCCACUGGUUCCUUGCAUCAAUUAGCUCUGCCACUUUAACAUCCUCCGGCAAAGAUGGCAUUGAGAAGGGUUUAAAGGUAUUUGACCUUGGGAUCCAAUUACUCUUAUAAACUUGCACCAUAUCGCCUCUACCUAUUCUCCAUCUAGCCCCAUUUUUUAAAACUUGUCUACCCCACAACAAGCUCCUCCAGAGGAAAGAUGGGUUUGAUCCCAGGUUAGCAUUCCAGAAAUCUGAGCAUUUUAAGUAUCUGGCUUUUAGAACUUGGGCAGUCAAAGAAUUCGGAUCCUGAAGUAUUCUCCAUCCCUGUUUUGCCACCAUCGCUUGGUUGAAACUACAAAAAUCUCUAAAGCCCAUACCACCUCUACACUUUGCAUGGCUUAGUUGUUUUGCCACCAUCGCUUGGUUCUCCAUCCCUGUUUUGCCACCAUCGCUUGGUUGAAACUACAAAAAUCUCUAAAGCCCAUACCACCUCUACACUUUGCAUGGCUUAGUUUCUCCCAUUUUGCCCAAUGAAUUUUGUGUUUGUCUUCCUUGGAGCCCCACCAGAAUUUUGCUACCGCUAUUUGAAUAUCUUCGCAUAGCCCGAUAGGGAGCUUAAAAACACUCAUGGCGUAGGCUGGAAUCGCUUGAGCUACUGCCUUGAUUAACACCUCUUUCCCUCCAGUUGAAAAGAAUUUGUGCUGCCAAUUAGCUAUCUUACUCAAUACCCUGAGCUUUACAUCAUUAAAAAAGCUCAUCUUUUUCUGACCAAUUAUCGAAGGCAGCCCCAAAUACCUCUUGUGUCUUGAUACUACAUUGAGCUGGAAGAUGUUUUUAAUGGUUUCAGCUUGCUGCUCACUCACCUUGCCGCCAAAUAACAACGAUGACUUCUCAUAGUUGAAUAGUUGCCCUCAGGCUGAUACAUAAGAGUCAAACAAAGCUUUCAACUGAUUACACUCAUUUGUUGAGGCUCUUGCGAAAAUUAAACUAUCAUCAGCAAAUAAUAGGUGAGUGAUGGAGAUCUCCUGCCCAAACCGUAGCCCAUGGAUUAAGUUUUGUCUUUCUGCCUGCUUCAACAGAUUUGAAAAAGCUUCUGCACAUAUGAGGAAUAGAUAUGGAGAUAAGGGGCACCUUUGCCUAAGACCUCUUUGAGCACGGAACAGCCCUUUGGGUUUGCCAUUUAUGAUUACAGAAAAAUUUAUUGUUGUAAUACAAUUCAAGAAUGGCUUUAUCCAUUUAUGUGAAAAGCCUAGCCGCCCCAUAGUUUGUUCAAGGAACUUCCAUUCCACUCUAUCAUAGGCCUUGCUAAUAUCUAGUUUUAAAGCUACCACCCCUUUUUUUGUACUUUUAUUAUGCCUAAUUUUGUGAAGACAUUCAUACCCAAUAAUAAUAUUAUCUGUGAUAAGUCUAUUAGGAAUAAAAGCACUUUGUGUAGGCGAGAUAACUUGAUGCAAGAUCUGUUUUAGUCUAUUAGCCAUAGUCUUCGCCACUAUUUUGAAAAUCACAUUACACAGACUUAUAGGCCUAAAAUCGGUCACCUUUUUGGGCUUGGCAACCUUUGGUAUAAGAGCAAUAUAAGUGUGGUUAAGUGGAGUAACAUCACCUUGUGCAUUGAGGAUGUGUAAGCAUGUGUCGAUGACUCCGCUGCCAACAGUUUGCCAAUACUUUUAGAAGAACGUUGCUGGUAGCCUGUCAGGUCCAGGAGCCUUAGUUGGACACAUUUGGAAUAGAGCGUUGAAGAUCUCGUCAGCUGUGGAUGGUUGAUCUAAUGCUUCAUUCAUCUCUAUCGUCAUCUUUGGGUUCAGGCCUUCUAAGGCAGCAUUGAUUUGGUUUUAGUUUGGACUUGAGGUUGUAAACAAAUCUUGGAAAUAUUCACCAAACUCUCUCUCAAUCUCUUCUCCAUCUUCUAGCCACUGCCCUUGCUGAUUUUCAAUGCUAGAAAUCUUGUUCUUUCUCCUUCGUGAUGAAGCUUUAAAGUUAAAAAACUUCGUGUUUUUAUCCCCCUCCUUAAGCCAAUCAGCCCUUGAUCAUUGCUUCUAAUAAAUCUCCUCAUCAGUUAGUAAGUUGUUGAUCUGUCGUUCCAGGUUUUUAAUUUCAGCACCAUUGUCAUACUGUAAAUUAUUGCUUACAGCACACUGGAGUUUUUCCAUCAGAAUUUUCAGCCUUUUUUUUCGCUCCCCAAACUCUUCCUUACUCCACCAUUGCAAUUGGGCCAUCGUAGCCUUUGAUAAAUUUUUGAAAGUCUGCACUGGAUUUAUAUUAUCUCUACAACCAAAGCCAGACCACACCUCCUUCACUAUAUUUUUACAACCCUCAUACGGAGUCCACAAAUCCUCAUAAUGCACUCUAGAGAAAGUUCUUCGAUCAUAGCUCACUCUACUUUUUUUCUCUUGAACAUUCAUUACAAGCAAAUUAUGAUAUGAUUCCCACAUAACCAUAUUUGUCACAGUCUCUUCCUGAAAAAAGUUCCCCCAAUCCUUGCUACAUAAAGCUCUAUCCAGCCUCUCUUCAAUAUGGUGAGAUCCGAAUUGUCUGUUGGACCAUGUAUAGGGAUGCCCCUUAUACCCCACGUCAAUAAGGUUACAGUCAUAAACUGCUUCUCUGAAGUCGGAGAUCAUGCUUACAUUUCUAUCAUUUCCACCAGAUUUUUCAUUUGGAUGCAUAAUUUCAUUGAAAUCACCAAUGCAGAGCCAAGGCAGAGGAGACAAACCUUUCAAUCUUCGCAUCAAAGUCCAUGUAUGUCUUUUUUGCUGAGCUUCUGGAUGACCAUAGAUUCUGGUACAUCUCCACCUUUUACCACUGUCAUUUUGAAUGAUAGCAUCAAUAUGAUGGCUGCUGUAAGAGGUAAUAUUUACAGUUAUCUCUGAGUUCCACAUCAUUGCCAACCCCCCACUCAUCCCAGUUCUACUAACCGCAAAACAAUUAUCUAAGUUUAGUCUUUUACACUCUUCAUUUGCUUGCCUAGACAAUAGCUUUGUUUCACAAAAAAACAAUAGCUGAGGCCUAUGCAAUUGGAGAAUUUUCUUCAUUGCGAGACGCGUUCGAGGAUUCCCCAAACCCCGAACGUUCCACCUUACGAGUUUCAUGGCUGUCGGCAGGGCUGGCUCCCAGCCUCCGCCGCUGACUUCUCCAUUUGCUGAACUGUGUCACUUUCAUCAACCUUUUCUUUUGUUUCCCAGGCCAGCUUCAAUUUCGAUGCUAUGGGAGUUUCCUGGGAGCUCACAUUCUUCAGCCUCUUACUGUUUGGACUCGGUUAAUCUAAUUCACUGCACGACCUUUUCACAUAAGUAGGUCCCAUAUUCCUCUUGGUAGUAAAGUUUGAGUCUCUAGCUUAUGUUUUCCACUUUCGGCUCUUUAAGUGAGAUUUUGGUUUCGUGGGCUCAAAAUUAAAUUUUGUACCUAUUGAAAUCCCCUGAGUUUGAUUUUCGUUUUUGUCAUGUUGGCCCAUCAGGCCUAUAUUUCGUUCCCCACUCCUCAGUGCAUCUACUUUCACUUUCCCGCAUAAGUUUCCUUCUGUUUUGCUCUCUGCUCUGUGGAUUUCCCCAGUUGUAGCUGCUGCCCCAGCAGGCUUUUCAUAUUCUAGGUACGACUGUCUCGAUUCCUCAGCCGCUUUCAUUAAUGAUUCCUCACCUACCUCUGCCACAUAAGUCACCUCCACUGACAUUUCCUCACUGGGGCUAUCCACUUGGGUUACACCCAAUCCAUCGUGCUUACUCGGGUUUGGAUUGCUUGGUUGCUCUUUCGGUUUUGGUUGUAUCUGGAUCUGAACACUUGUGUUUCUGGUGGUUGCAUCCGGUUGAUCAUCUCUCCUACUCUUUCUGUUUUUGCCUCUGCUGAGCUUAGCUAAUUCAAAAGAAGUAAGUGCUUUCAUCCAUCCACCAUAAAUGAGCUUCUCCUUUGGUUGGCCCUUGUACUGGAUGCAUUCCCUAAACUGAUGUCCGAUAAGUCCACAGCAGAAGCAAAAAUCCGGUAGCCUAUCAUACUUGAUAAGCAUCACAAUAUCUUCCUCGCCUUCCUGUUUUAGUAUAAGGAUUCUCUUUAAUGGUUUAGUAAUGUCCACUGAAAUUCUCACCCGAGCAAAAGGGCCUAUGCAUUCCCCUUCUUCGUCGGUCUCUACUUCCUCCACUUGUCCUAUCUUUUCCCCCAAUUUUUCAAUGGUUCCUUUCACCAUACACUUGAUGGGCAUUCCAUGGAUUUGCACCCAAAAAGAUGUAUGUGUAAAAGGCUGCCGUUUUAUGCUCCCCAUUCCCACUGGUUCUACAAGCACUAUUAAAGCUUUGUCAAAAUGCCAUGGCCCUUCUGUCAGCACUCUCUUUUUAUCCUGUUCUGUAGCAAACUUAAAGACGAAAAUGUUGUCUCCCAGACUCUCCACCUUAAUCUCCUUAGUGGUUUUCCAAGCUAACUGCAUUGCGUAUCUCAACCCCUCUUUGUUUACAUCUCUGUUGAGAAGAAUCUUACCCACAAGACAAUGGGCUGCUACCCUUUCUCCAUCAUUUUUCAUUCCACCGAUGAACAUGACUGCAUCAUCUUCUUCAUCCUUCAAAGUGAUAGUCUUACAUCUACGUAUGAGCUCCUCUGUAUCCAUUUUCUAAUCUCGUAUUUAAACCUUCCUCAAUAAAUGGCUCUCACCAACCACUACUUUCACAACAAUUUAAGUUCUUCAGAAAGAAGCCAACUACCGCCAACAUUAGUUAAGCUUCUGUAUUUGACUGCCUUUUACACUACUUUCAGAACUUAAGUGAUGAAGAAACACCCAACAUGUGAGUGACGUAAAUCGGGUUAUGGCAACCCCCAUGUCCUUCCAUACCGAGUUCUUUUUCCAGAGAGGAAAAGAACUCUCAUAGGAGAUAACUAGGAUUCCUUUGCCGACAACUUGAAGAUUAAUUUGGUAAAUUAAAAAGUGAGUUUUUUGGUUUAAAAAUAAAUGUUCUGAUUAAUUUCAAUCGAAUACUAUAAACUACUAAAUAAAACAUUUUUAAGUUAUACGAAUGUAAUUUUUAUGGUAUAUAUCAAAUUCAAUAUUAUCAUCAAUAAUAAUUUUUUUUUAUUAAUAAUGAUGAAAUCACUGCGUGAAAAUAUUUCAUUCAAGGCCAAUCAUGUAUUUGAUAGGGGGUACCUAACAAUUAUAAUGAUUAUUGUUUUUUUUUAGAGUUCCUCUUUUAAACUUCUUCAGUCUCUUUAUGUUUAUCGGUGCAACCAUUUGAGGUGUAUAAUUAAUUAGGAUCAUUUAUUUUAAAUGCUCUCGUAUCUUGUUCUUUCCCAAUUUAGAAUUAUCUUGCUCAGUUAAACUCUAAUUUUGGGAACUUGCCUAAAUAUCAUUAUUAUUAACUGGUGAUGCAACUCUUCUAUUUGUAAUCUUCUAUCUUUUCUAAUAAAAUUUUCGAAUUGUACCCAAAAAAAAGUUCGAAAAUAAACAUCUAAUGAAGUGUAAUGGCUUUUUUUCAUCAAUUAUUAUCGGAUGGAAAUGUAAAGUUAAGGUUAAGUUUUUUUUUUCAAUAAAAGCUCCUAUUUUAGGAGGUCGAUUUGCCACCUACUCAUCAAAUUUUUAAUUUUUUUAUUAUUUCGUGUUACAUUGAAUUAGAUAUAAAUGACUCUCCGGUUUUUUUUUCCCCCAAAAUUCCUUAUCAAUAUAUGAAUUGUUUUUACAAAAUAAUAAUAAUACAGGAGAAUGAUUCUAAGGUCCUUAAUGUUUCUUAUUUUUAUUACUUCCAUUCGUAAUUUUUUCUUCAAUUAUCCGUUACAUCUCCAAUGUUAUAAUUUUAAAUUGAAUGAUAAAUGAUAGUGUUUUUAACAAACAGAACAUCAACACUGACAAUAACAAUAUAAUAGUAAAAGUUCACAAAAAUUGAGUUUCUUAUAUACCAAUAUUAACGUCAGGUAAUUAAAAAACAAAUUAAGGAAUUGAAGUAUAAAAGUGAGGAACAUUAAGGCUGCCUUCUCCCAUAUAAAUAAAGUUGUGACUAUACCCCAAAGUCCCAAGUCCACAUGAAGCAAAACAAUUUCAUUUUUCUAAAAACAAACAUCAUAUCAAUAAGUUCUCAUUUUUUUUAAAAAAAAAAUUCUUAUUUUUAAAAUAAUAGAUCGCAGAUUUGAACACUACUCACAUAAUGAAAAAAAGAAAAUCAAGUUACUAUUAAACUAAAUAAUAAUGAUAAAAUAUAUAUUUGAAGCAUGGUAUAUAUAUCUCUUAUGUACAUAUUAAGUGUAAAUAUUCAAGCUAUGCAUGAUAGGGUCUUGUUAAGUUACAUCACAUAUAACUUACAACAAAUUUAAAAAUAGUUAUUCAUGAUCUUUUACUUGUUUUACACGCUGUCAUUUCUGAAUCACGAGCCUUUUAGGUUGUUUUAAAUUAUAUUAUAUGUAACUUAGUGGCUAGGGUUGGCAAUUUGUGGGCUUGGGCCGGGUUUUUCCAAGCCCAGGCCGAAGCUCAUAUUAUUGAAACGAAGCCUAGGUCUUUAAAAAGCCCUUCAAAAUUUGGACUGGCCGAGCCUGGGCUUUUUAAUUAAUUAUAAAAUAUUUUUUUAAUUUAGAUUGAUCGGGUUAGAUUUCUUCAUUAAUUAUAAAAUAAUUUUUUUAUAAAGAAAAAUUUUUUUAGUUAAAAAUAAAUAUUCAAUACAUAAUAACAUAAUAGUCUAAUAUAUAAAAUAUUAGUAACACAACAUAAUAAAUCACAAAUAUUAAUAUAAAAAAUAUAUUAAUUUAGUAUUUUGAGUUUUUUUAUUUAAAUUUAAUUUAUUUUAUUUUUAAAUUAAAAAGCUCGAGCUCUUUACUAGAUCAUUAUCCAAGCCCCAUUUAUUUGGGCUUUACAUUCUUCAGGCCCAUAUUCAAACCCAACCCAUGCGAGCCGGGCUUCAAGGUCACGAGCCUGCCCGAGCAGCUUUUUUGCCAACCCUAUUAGCAUUUGCCUGCAUGAUAAAUUUUCACACAAUUCCAUAAUUAUAAGAUAUAAAUUACGGUAAACUCAUAAUUAUAACUUGUUAGUAGAUUACAACAUAAUUUUAGGGAAAAAUAACCAACGACUAAUCAAGAAUAAUGUGAAAUAUCAAUUAAAGAGUAUGAGAUUGAAAUAUUGAAUAAUGAAAACAGUGAUGUCAUUUCAUUGGAGAGAAAGUCAAUAAAUUACUGAUUAUAGAUAUUAUGAGAGAAUGCGGGCAAUCUCCUAUGUCAUUAGUCAAUAUUUCAUUAACAAAUAGCAAAACUCUUCGUGAAUCGAUCAUUAAUUGGACCGCAACAAUUAGAGGAAAAAUGAUUCUUUCAACUUACCAUAUUAUUUGCUUAUCCCUAGAUAAGAAGUGAUCAAAAGCAUUUGUGAAAGAAAUCAAGAGAGGAUAGCGAUCGUCAAUUAACAAUGAUGGCCCAACAAAUCACUGCUUGAUUAGAUGAUUCGAACGUGGACAUCAUCUUUACAUACUUGAUAUUAUAAUUACAAAUAUUACUCAUAUUUUAUGACCAUGAGUUGGGUGGGGAUAAUUUUACCUCACUAUUUGUGUAAAAUUACCGCACUUUUAUAUAUAUGCACGAUAUUUUUUUUUGGUAAUUAUUCACCGACCACUUUUUUUUUGCACUUUUUCAAAAAUACGCAUAUCUUUCUUUUUCUAACUGAUUUCCACCUGAAAUUACAAAAUAUAUUAUUUUUUCACUACUGUCUAAAUUCCGUGAGAGAAGUUACAAGAAUAUUAAUAAAAUGACUAUUUUACCCCCCUUAAUGCAAAAUUACUAUUUCAUCUUAAUUAAAUAAAAAAAUUAAAUUACUUCAAUUUUUCUUUGCUAUUUAGACAUUAGAUAAUAAGUUAAACAAAAUAAUCUGGAAUAUUUUUAUCUUUUUUUUCCUCUUUCUACCGCGUUUAAAUGAUGUUGAUUUUUGUUAUGCAGCUGAAAUGAUAAUUUUACACCUAUGUCAUCAACAAGGUUAUGGCAGAAUGCAAACAGAAGUGAAAAAGUGCAAGAAAAUGUAACUUCUAGUGGAAAUCAACCCAAAAAAAUAAGAGGUAUAUUUUUGAAAAUACUUGAAAUAAUAAGUGGUCGGUGAAUAAUUUUCCUUUUUUUAUAAAUAUAAAUUAACAAUACAAAUUUGACGAUUAAUAAAUAAAAUCUUUCUAAUAUCUUUUUUCUUACUCGGGUUUCUUUGACCAUCUUUAACCAUUCAAGUUAUUUUAACCUAAGUUUUAUAUGACUAUUUUACCUUUAUAAUAUAAAAUGAGUAAAUUUUCCCAAUAAAUAUAUAUAUGUUCUUUCUUAUAUCUAAUAGUUUAAGUAUUCAAUUUUAUUAAAUUAUAAUCUAACAUCUUUAAAUGAAAUCUAAUAAUUUUCAAUACCGUAUAUGUAAAUAACAUGAAUUUAACAGUAUGAUAAUUCACAUGGGUAUUGUAUCAUAUAGAUAUUAUGUUAAUUUAAUUAAAGAUUAAUUAUUAUAAUAACAAAAUAUUACUGACAAAAACGACAACGAGAUAAGAGACUUAAAUAAUAUUUAUUUAUUAUGAGGAGGAACGAUUUGGUGACCACAGUCAUGAGUCUUAUAGUACGCAACUGCAUGUUUAUUUGGGAGAUCUAGUACAUGACUCUCAACUGCAUCAGUGAAUAGCUCAAGUUCGUCCAAGGUCCCAUAGACAUCAUAAACAUCAUCGAUUAAUGUUAAAAGACAAUUAACCAUUGCAGACAUCCUUCUACAAUAUCCAAACUGAGGUUCGAAUAUAUCCCCCACGGUCCAGAAGAAAUUCUCCACUACUCUGUCUCUUGCAAAAUUCAACUUCUCCCCAAGUCCUGUU
This 22403-nucleotide long non-coding RNA is filed under the name Citrus sinensis (sweet orange). RNAcentral's name for it is "long non-coding RNA (CSIN_LNC002999)". The record is from RNAcentral. Lineage: Eukaryota; Viridiplantae; Streptophyta; Magnoliopsida; Sapindales; Rutaceae.